This 765-nucleotide ribosomal RNA is filed under the name Triticum aestivum (bread wheat). RNAcentral describes it as "partial small subunit ribosomal RNA". The record is from RNAcentral. Lineage: Eukaryota; Viridiplantae; Streptophyta; Magnoliopsida; Poales; Poaceae.
AUGUCCCGUGUGUUAGAGAACCAACUAAAGAGUUUAUCUUCUGCUGCUGGGAAGACUGUCGGGAAGACUGCAAGCACCCGUCCUGCAUCCCACUCGCGUGAAGUAAAAGAUACCGGCAAGCAAGCUGACGAAGUUUCAGAUUCUGAUCAUGGGGAUAGUGAUGGUGGCGGUGAUGGUCACUCUGACGAAGAUCUAGAUUUUCACGUUCAUUACUAUGGUUCUUCAGGUGGGCCGAACACCCAUGAGGCUUCAGGUAGUGGGGGUAGUGAUGGUCCGAAUGCCCAUGAUGCUUCAGGUAGUGGCGCAGCGAAUGCAGAUGUGGGUGCAACCAUGUUUGCAACUGCCAAUGUGUCGGUAAGGUCAGCCGGAAUUGAUGCAACUGCUACUGCAGGAACCGAUCAGCCUCUCGAGUCUCAGAUUAUGCUUACUGCACAUUCCGGGAAUGUAUCUAGUGAUGGAUUGCAUAACCAGCCAGAUAUGACGGAUACUCAAAACAAGGUUGUUGUUGAUGCUUCUGUGAAGAGGUGCGGUUCUUCUCUUGUCCGUAACUUGGAAAAGCAAUAUUCCAGGCGUCGCAAGAAAUUACGCCUACCUUCUCCGCCCAUGUCCACUGGUACAACUAUUUCUGACCAGCCGUCAUUGGAUGAUACACAUUGUUCUAUCAAGGCAAUAGUCAUCAAUGAGCUUGGCAUUGUAGGCCCUGAUAAGGGCACUAACUCAGUAAUUGCCAAUCCCACGCGGAAGAAGCAACAUCCUCUCAAGUGA